UUGUGCUAGGCGGGGAGCUAGCGGUGCCCUCUACCCGAAAUCCGCUUUAUGCGGGGCUGAAUUCCCCCUCGAGGAUCUUGUCCCCGAUACGUGCCGCUUUGACCGGCCGCCGCGCAACAGACACUCACGAACCUUGUCAGGUCCGGAAGGAAGCAGCAAUAAGUGAUGGCGUCUGUGUCGCGGAUCGAUCCCGGUCAAUCUGUGGCGUGUUGAAAGGAAAAGAUUCGACCAGGGGGUGCACAA
Desulfococcus multivorans DSM 2059 is the source of this 243-nucleotide non-coding RNA. It matches the Rfam family "Bacterial large signal recognition particle RNA". From Rfam's summary of the family: The signal recognition particle (SRP) is a universally conserved ribonucleoprotein involved in the co-translational targeting of proteins to membranes. Archaeal SRP consists of a 7S RNA and homologues of the eukaryotic SRP19 and SRP54 proteins. NCBI's taxonomy places the organism in Bacteria, Pseudomonadati, Thermodesulfobacteriota, Desulfobacteria, Desulfobacterales, Desulfococcaceae. The record is from Rfam.